CAGAGGGCAUGGUACCGAAGAUCAGGAACAAAGGGCAUCUCCUAGGUGCUGAGAGAGAGCUUCCCAGAAGCAGACAUUGAACUUGACUCUCCAGAGGACUUCUUAUGGCUAGCUGGAGGAAGGAUGGCUUUUCUCUGAGAAAUGGAAUGAAUUAAAGCUCAUUUGGGAAAGUUUGCUAAGAAUGGGUUGCAAGGGUGGUGAAGCGUCUCAACACGGUUGCUUGAGAUUCCUGAUAGCAUGGUGGCUAGAUCCCAAAAAGGAGUGCUCCAAGAAGUAAAGUUCCCCAGUAACCAGCAAGAAGCAGAACUUCCAUUCUUAUGCUGUAACAACAAAGUGGCACUUCAACCAUCUGUCUCCUUCCCCUCUGUGUCAGUGGGGCCCAACAGGGAUCUGAGCUUACACUUCAACUUAAAAGCAAAGAUGAUUCACCUCAGACCAGCCUGGGCAACACGAUUCACCAUUACCUUUGGGGGCAUGUUUAAAAGAGAUGCUUUCAUGUCCAAGUCUGGAAAUCCCAGCAUCUGUCCUGUCUUCAGAUACAUUCUAUGAAUGUAAGAAGCAUGGUAAACAAAUGGCAUCAGACAAUACUUACUGGUGAUUGAAGAAACUGCCCAUGGGAUCAUAACAGAAGCCCCGGUGAUAGUCUUCUCAGAUUGAACCACAGCACUAAUGGAGAUUACCAAAAUUUAUAGGAUAAGAUUACUGAAAUUUCUAUGUUGUUUUAUCCCAUUGAAAUCAAUGGAAAGCAAAGGACAGGAAAGAGCCAAACAGACAAUUUUCCCCUCUCAUCUCUAUGAUAUGGUCCCUCCUUACAGUUCUUCUGGAAAAGUCCAGAGUGCCAAGCAAAUAUACUGACUCUGGGGUCCUGCUGUGCUGCAUCGUGGCUCAUUGUGAACCAGUGGUCAAUCCAGGAGGCCAUCUCCAUAGAUACUUUGCAUCAUUUCCUUUCCCUCCCCUUCACCACUGGGGACUUACACUUCCCAAAUAAAAUAUCAACAAUUCAAUCCAUAUCCCUGCAUUCUAGACGCUUAGCACACUCCCAUGACCCACAUGCUGGUGAGGAUGUUGAGUUCAUGUGAAGCCUUGGUAAUUUUGGUUGGAAACAUGUUUCUAGAAUCAAGGCAAUGUGGUUUGGUCAAAUUCAGAUGAGAUUGUGGAGCCGCGUGUCCUAGAUUCCAGCUUUGGCUCUAGACCUUAUAAACCAACCCUGUGGCCUUUUAUCUCUCUCAUCAGUCUAAUGGAAAUCAUAUUACCUGCCUUCCUUAUCUGGAAAUGUCAUCAUCAGGAUCAAGAGAGAUAAGGUUUGAGAAAGUAAUGUGUAAGCCAUUAAGUAGUACACAGAUGACCAUUACUGCUGUCAAACAGGAAUUUGAUGCAAUGAACUCUGUUCCCCUUUUCUGUCAAUACAAGUUCAGUGUUAAACAUUUA
Molecule: long non-coding RNA, 1428 nt
Organism: Homo sapiens (human)
Lineage: Eukaryota; Metazoa; Chordata; Mammalia; Primates; Hominidae
Exons: 6
Source: RefSeq, a predicted model, not a curated record